RNAcentral lists this ribosomal RNA (366 nucleotides) under Enterococcus casseliflavus. RNAcentral describes it as "bacterial SSU rRNA". It matches the Rfam family "Bacterial small subunit ribosomal RNA", at positions 96 to 453 of the family's 1533-position model. Lineage: Bacteria; Bacillati; Bacillota; Bacilli; Lactobacillales; Enterococcaceae. The record is from RNAcentral.
UGGCGAACGGGUGAGUAACACGUGGGUAACCUGCCCAUCAGAAGGGGAUAACACUUGGAAACAGGUGCUAAUACCGUAUAACACUAUUUUCCGCAUGGAAGAAAGUUGAAAGGCGCUUUGCGUCACUGAUGGAUGGACCCGCGGUGCAUUAGCUAGUUGGUGAGGUAACGGCUCACCAAGGCAACGAUGCAUAGCCGACCUGAGAGGGUGAUCGGCCACACUGGGACUGAGACACGGCCCAGACUCCUACGGGAGGCAGCAGUAGGGAAUCUUCGGCAAUGGACGAAAGUCUGACCGAGCAACGCCGCGUGAGUGAAAGAAGGUUUUUCGGGAUUCGUAAAAACUCUGUUGUUAAGAAGAAAGAAA